Musa acuminata subsp. malaccensis (wild Malaysian banana) is the source of this 1270-nucleotide non-coding RNA. NCBI's taxonomy places the organism in Eukaryota, Viridiplantae, Streptophyta, Magnoliopsida, Zingiberales, Musaceae. The record is from RefSeq and is a predicted model, not a curated record.
UCACUUGAUCGAUACAACCAUCCAUGUCUUCUUCUUCUUCUUGUCGUAGCCAUGUUGUUCUCUUUUCUUUGAUGGUUUUCUGGGUUUGACCGCAAGAUCUGGUAUCUUGAGCUCAGGAGGAGUAUGGGGAGGGGAAAGAUCGCGAUCCGCAGGAUCGAUAACUCCACUAGCCGGCAGGUGACCUUCUCGAAGAGGAGGAAGGGUUUACUCAAGAAGGCCAAAGAGCUCGCCAUCCUUUGUGAUGCGGAGGUCGGCGUUGUUGUCUUCUCCGCCACCGGCCGAGUCUAUGAUUACGCCAGCACCAGCAUGAAGUCUGUGAUGGAAAGAUACACUAGAGCAAAGGGGGAGCAUCAUCUGGUUAUGAACCCGAGUUCAGAAACUAUGUUCUGGCAAAGGGAGGCAACAAGCUUGAGGCAGCGACUGCAUAAAUUGCACGAAACUCAUAGACAGUUGAUGGGAGAACUUUCUGGUCUAGACAUAAAAGAUCUACAAAAUAUAGAGAACCAACUGGAGACGAAUCUGGAUGGUAUCCGAAAGAGGAAGGAACAACUUCUACUCGAGGAAAUUCAAGAAUUACAUCGGAAGGGGAGCCUUGUUCACCAAGAAAAUAUGGAACUCUACAGGAAUAUAAACAUCAUGUGUCAAGAAAACACGGAAUUACACAGGAAGGUUGAUGCAACAAGGGAAGCAAAUGACAAGAAUUCAGUUAUGCCAGACGGAUUUAGUAAACCAGAGGAAGCAAAUGUACUCAUUCAUCUCCAACUGAGCCAACCACAUCAGCAAGCCGAAGGAUUACAACUGAAAGCUCCAAAGCUAGGAUUUCAACUGAACUGAGAAGACAUAAAGAUCAAGUACGGCUACUCAAUGUCUUCGUCACAUUAUCACAAGACAUAUCAGCAUUUUGUUAAUUGGUGUAUAAGGAGCAGCAUUAUUUCUCAAAAUAGUAAUCCAUCUUGUGAAUUGACCAGAAUAACCAAUUACACAGUGAAGGUAGGAAACUCCUUGCAAAACGAAAGAAAAGAGGGAGAUUUCCGACAACAACAUAAUUUGUCCUUUCCAAUUUGCUCCAGAAUCGGCGCCCAAACCUGGCCCUACUGUCCAAUCCGGUCUGGUUCUAAUUUUUGUUCUUCCAAAACACAGAAAUAUCUAUCCAACCCAAAACAUCGUGGUUACAAAAAUCACCGUGUUUAUCCAAGAGAAGCAAAAUGGAAAGUUCAGAAGGGGAGGUAUGCUCCCCAAAAUGCAUGCCAAUGAUUCAACCUACCAAAAU